AAUCAACGCUGGCGGCAUGCCUAACACAUGCAAGUCGAACGGGAAAGUGGGAGCAAUCCCAUGAGUAUAGUGGCGCACGGGUGAGUAACACGUGACUAACCUACCCUCGAGCGGGGAAUAACCCCGGGAAACCGGGGCUAACACCGCAUAAUACCGCAAGGUCAAAUGCGCAAGCAGCUUGAGGAGGGGGUCGCGGUUGAUUAGCUAGUUGGUAGGGUAAUGGCCUACCAAGGCAGUGAUCAAUAGCCGGCCUGAGAGGGCGCACGGCCACACUGGAACUGAAACACGGUCCAGACUCCUACGGGAGGCAGCAGUGGGGAAUUUUGCGCAAUGGGGGAAACCCUGACGCAGCAAUGCCGCGUGGAGGAUGAAGUCCUUUGGGAUGUAAACUCCUUUCGAUCGGGAAGAUAAUGACGGUACCGGAAGAAGAAGCCCCGGCUAACUCUGUGCCAGCCGCCGCCGUAAG
This 466-nucleotide ribosomal RNA is filed under the name uncultured bacterium. RNAcentral's name for it is "bacterial SSU rRNA". It matches the Rfam family "Bacterial small subunit ribosomal RNA", at positions 32 to 524 of the family's 1533-position model. The record is from RNAcentral.